GCAUAAGGAAGUUCCUAGGCUAGGGGUCAAACUGGAGCCAAAGCUGCUGGCCUAUGCCACAGCCACAGCAAUGCAGGAUCCAAGCCACAUCUGCGACCUACACAACAGCUCAGAGCAAUGCCAGAUCCCUGACCCACUGAGUAAGACCAGGGAUCAAACCCUCAUCCUCAUGGAUACUAGUUGGAUUCACUUCUGCAGCACCACAAUGGGAACUUCUGAUGGGCAAAUCCUAUACCUCCUAGAUACUGCUCCAGUCCCUACAAUUGAGCCAUUUAAUUGCUCUGUGCAGCAACAGAAAUAGAAAUAGAUCAGUCCUAUUUCUCUGUAUUUUUGUUAAGGGUGAACAAUCACUACUUACACCUAGACUACAGAAUUUGAGUUUUUGGGAGUUCCCGUCGUGGCGAAGUGGUUAACGAAUCCGACUAGGAACCAUGAGGUUGCGGGUUCGGUCCUUGCCCUCGCUCAGUGGGUUGAGGAUCCGGCAUUGCCAUGAGCUGUGGUGUAGGUCACAGACGUGACUUGGAUCCUGCGCUGCUGUGGCUGUGGCGUGGGCCAGCAGCUACAGCUCCAAUUUGACCUCUAGCCUAGGAACCUCCAUAUGCUGCGGGUAUGGCACUAAAAAGAAAAAAAGAAAAAAACAAAAAACAAAAAACAAAAAACAAUUACACAGACCAAAGGGGACUACAGAGUUGUGACAGUAAAGCUACAACUUUGGCCCCAAGUUCCUAGAGGCAUAAAAAGAGAAACAGCUACCUCCAUAAGAAGAAACUAUACCCUUUUACCUGAUUUGCUCAAGACUGCCCAAUUAAAAGGCAAAUGGCUUGGGGCUGGCAUAUGUACACUUGGUAUACAGAAUGACUUGUCCAAUGGGGUCCUGCUGUACAACACAGGGAACUCUACCCAAUAUUCUGUGAUUAUCUACAUGGGAAAAGAACCUGAAAAAGAAUGGAUAUGCGUAUAUGUAUAACUGAAUCACUUGGUGCACAGCAGAAAUUAUCACAACACUGUAAAUAAACUAUAUUUCAAUAAAACUCUGAAAAAUGGAAAAAAAAAAAAAGGCAGUUAGCAUCCCAUUAUCAGCAUGGAAUGAUAGAAACGGACCUGAACAAUGAAUCAAGAAACCUAGUCAUUAGAGUACUAGCUCUUCUGCUAACUGCAAACCCAAGGCAGAUCAUUUAAAUUCUCUGAGCCUCACUUUCUUGACUAUACAUACAGUAGGUGCGGUUCACGGAGCCAGGGUCAACAAUACAGAGCUUUUGUGCUAUCAUUCUUCAACCCAGCAUACCCUGACAGACAUUGACAAUUAAUCACAGAAUUUUUUUCUGCUGAAUCCCGAAGAGACCGCAAAAUCUCGCUCAACAGUGUCCUAAGAAACCACCAAUGAGUCAACAUGGGCAUUCUGACCCUAGAGGUACUUUAGAGUACCUCCAGUGCACUCAUGCUAUCAUGCAUACUAUCGUGCAGUGAGCGUGGUCUCUGGCAUGGCUUGUGGCAUCCUUUCUGAAUGAGAAAUGCUGAGGGGGGUUGACUAAAGCUGCUAAGGCAGGCAGAUAUGGAACAAAACUCCUUUUGGAGUUAUUUUUAAACUGCUAAAAAUACUUGGAAAUAUUAAAAUUAAAACUCACAGGAGUCAAAAUACACCGCUGAUUAAAAUAAAAUACUUCCAAAUGAUCUACCAGAGGAAAUCCAGGAAAGGCACAGCAGCAAUGUACCAAGCGGAAAAUCUUUAGAAGCAAUUCAAAUUUCAAAGACUCUUUCUUUUGUUCUAUUUUAGAAUUUGUAGGAUGAGCAUUUCUACAAAUUGCUCUACACAAAAGUAGAGAGAAUAGUACAACAAACUUGUGUGCACCACCACUCAGUUUCUACAAUCAUCAACAUUUUGUCACAGGAUUUAACUUUUAUUUUUUGGUUGGGCGGUUUUUUUUGGUUUCUAGGGUUGUACCCACGGCAUAUAGAAGUUUCCAGGCUAGGGGUCUAAACCGAGCUACAGCUGCCGGCGGUAUACCACAGCCACAUCAACGCCAGAUCCGAGGCACGUAUGUGACCUACACCACAUCUCAUAGCAACAUCAGGUCCUUUAACUCACUGAGUGAGGCCAGGGACAUCCUCAUGGAUACUAGUUGGGUUCAUUUCCGCUAAGACACAACAGGAACUCUGUCAUAGGAUUUAACUUUAAAAGUCAAGCCUUCUGGAGCUAGACUUCAAAUUCUUAUGGUAAAAUACAGCUUCCUCCAGAAAUACACUCACACAUACAUUAAUGUAUGGACACACACACCCAUUACAAACAAUAACUUUCCAAGUAAUAUGGAGAAACAAGCUGGAGGGAUAUCUGUUCUCUAGACCUUUGCUACUCAAAUGGUGGUCCCUGGUCACAGUGUUGGUAUUACCUGAGAGCUUAUUAGAAAUGCAAAAUCUUGGGCCCAUUUCAAAUUUACUGAGUCGUAAUUUGCAUUCUAACAAAAUCACCAGGUUACUAGUCUGCACAAUAAGGUUUAAAAAAGUACUGCUCUACUCUGGACCACCAUAACUGUCCCCUGCAAAGCUUUUCCUAACUGACUCAGAGGAGCCGGGCAAGAAACUGAAGUGUGAAAAAUAGUGUCCAUUUCACUUGGAAGAGCAAUGUGCCAUUAACUAAGCAAAUUUAAAGGUAUAUAAUUUACGACCUAGCAAUUCCACUUCUCAAUACCUACACUGGAGAAAUAUUCACCCAUAUGCUUAAGUAGGAUGUUACGAAAAUGUCUAUCACAGCAAAAAAGAAACCUAAGUACCUAUCAAAAAGUGAAUGGUGAAACAAACCAGUACAGAACAGUCAGCAGAGGUUAAAGUGAAUGAACCAGAUCAUGCAAAGUUCUUCUGAACAUGUUGAGAGAAAAAAGUUGCAAAAAGUUCCCCUUAGUAUAACAACAUUUGUUUAAAACAAAAGAAAGCAUGUGCAAAGGAAGAGCAAAGGUCUGGAAGGAGAUACCAAAAGGAAAUGGUGGCUACAUUUGGAAAGAGAUAAAGAGAACUGGGAUUAGAGGUGGAGUAUUGAAGGAAGAUUAUAAUAUUUUACAUAUUUGCUUAUUUAUUGAAAAGAAAAUGCACUCAUGUAUCACAUGUGGGACAAAUAUUUUUUAAGUGGCUCUAUGAUUUCUUAUACCAAAUGAGCUUAUGUAGAGAAAAUAUGGUCAGAGUAAGGGUACACAAAGAUGGAUAGAAAGUUUAAAGACCUUUGACAAACUGCAGGUAUUUAGAAAUGAGUUUUGUUUGCAUGGACCAUUUUCUCUGUUUUCUUCAAUUCAUGCAUACACCUGGUACAGCAAGGCAUAUUUUGCAAAAUUUAAAAAUGUCUUCAGAGUUCCCAUAAUGGCCCAGUGGAAACGAAUCCAACUAGUAACCAUGAAUUUGCAGGUUUGAUCCCUGGCCUUGCUCAGUGGGUUAAGGAUCCGGCAUUGCUGUGGCUGUGGUUGGCAGCUAUAGCUCCGAUUCAACCCCGAGCCUGGGAAGUUCCAUAUGCCGCCGGUGUGGCUCUUAAAAAAAAACAAAAAUUAAAAAAUAAAUAAAUAAAAAUAGAAAAGUCUUCAAGAGUAGUAUGUUCAUUUUCCCGUGUACUUCAUAUUUCCUUCAUCUGUUCACCCACUAUUUGAAAACAGCUUAUAUAUGUGAUUGUUUCUAUUGCUGCAUGUUCUACGUUCCUAGUUUAACAGAUGAUGAUGCACACCAGCUAAAUGAAUAACUCAUGAGUCUAAGCAUAAUAAUAGCUUUUAAAAAUUCCAAAGAAGUAGGCAGAGCACGUAUUGUCCUAAUUUUAUAGCCGAAGAAAGGCUCAGAAAAGUUGGAUGAUGUGCCCAAGGACCUUCUAGCUAGGAGGUAGCAAACCCAGACCUGGGCUCUCUUUGUGAUUCCAAGUCCUCUGUCCUUUCAAUUAAUUAUACCACACCUGCCAUGCCACCAUAUAUAAAGAUGAUACUCACUUAUGCUUUUAGGCAAUUCUUUAGAUAGCUUUAGAUUGGAAAUUCUCAUGAGAAAUAUUAGAAUUCAAAUAAUAUGCACACUCUGGGGAUCUCAUAUCCAGUUAUUUACUUUGAGUUCCUUUUCCAAUACCUUGCCUUGACCAGGCCAAGGAGAAAAGACUGAAAAAAGUACCACCACACUCUCCCCAUCAUGAAGUAGAAAAAGGAUGUACUCUAGCCACUCUGAGUUUUAAAGCUGUGUCUGUUCUAAUGUAUAUGGGAAAAAAAGUAUAAAAGUGGAUAAUACAUACCCAUCUCCCAGCUUCACCAAUUAUCAUUGUCCACUAGAAAAAUCCUACUGAUGGAGCUCCCGUUGUGGCUCAGCUGGUUAAGAACCUGACAUAGUGUCUGUGAGGAUGUGAGUUCAGUCCCAGGCCUCACUCCAUGGGUUAAGGAUCCAGCAUUGCCACAAGCUGUGGCAAAGGCUGCAGACAUGGCUUGGAUCUAGUGUUGCUUUGGCUGUGGGGUAGGCCGGCAGCUGCAGCUCUGAUUCAGCCCCUUAGCCUGGGAACUUCCAUACGCCACAGGUGUGGCUAUAAAAAAGGAGAACAAACAAACAAACAAAACUAAUGACAAUCUGGUUGUCUAUCCUUAAUAAAGGAAAGUGGUCAGAUACUUGGAAGCUUCUCAGGGGAGACAGUCUCAAUCUAAUAGGCUUUGUGAAGUUAAAUGUUUUUUUAAAGUUUGAAGUUAACAGGGUUAAAAGCUCACACACUAGACCUUAGAUAUCAAGAUAAUACAACUGACUUCUCGAUCCUCUUAAGCACUAUGGCUACAGAAGAGCUGUUCUGGACACACAUGCCUCUAUUUAUAGCGGCGAGCACCAAGUCUUAUGGGAAAAGCUCCUAAACCAUUUAAAAAUCAAACUAUUUUAAGCAUCUUACAACUUUCUAAGAAUUUUUGUUUGUUGGUUUUAACAUUGUUCCCAAAAGUUGGGUCAUAAAUUGUGUAUGUGUGCUUGCGCACGCGCGUGUGUGCCUAUUUUGGGGAAAUAUGCAAGAUGAGGUUAGUGGGUUUGAAGCAUUAAAGUCUCCAUGGAGAGCUCUACCAGGGAUAAAAUCCUGGGGGUUCACUGUAUGGCUAAGAAACGAAUUAGCUGCCUUAAAAUGUUUUAUUUUUUUUAAAAGAAUUGGGCAGAAUUUAUAUACUGUUAAAAAAAUCUGAGUCAAGCACAGCUUCAUUUCAAAUAUUAGGCAUAUUUCCCAUAACCGUUUAAAACAUAUAUGUACUGAUGUUGGGAACUUACUAAAUUUAAACCCUGACAUAGCAGAGUAAGGCAAGUCCUUCCUCCUUCUUUCGGGGAGGGAAGAGUGAAAGAGAUUGCCCCAGUAGAGAGGACUUUGAAAAACACCCUCUAUGUGGCAGGAACUAUUUAAUCAUGUGAGAAUUUCUAGCCCUCCCCCUUCUUUUGGAUGAGUGAGAAAUUGUUGAAGAUGUUUAAAACCUGCUUGGGAUGGCAUCUAACUUCCAACAUUAGUCUGUCUGACUACCCCUUCUAUUACACUGAAAUACAACUAGGCCAAUGGCACCAUGUGUUUUCUUCGGUCUUAAAAUGGGUUUUACUGACCAUCCCAUUCCUGCUUGGAAUUAAUCUUUGGAUCAUGGCUUUCUCUAAUGUGCCAUGUUUUGUUUUGUUUCUCAUUUUUGGCUGCCCCGCAGUAUAUGGAGUUCCCAGGCCAGAGAUCAGAUCCGAGCUGAAGCUUUGGCAACACUGGAUACUUAACACACUGUGCUGGGCCAGGGUUUAAACCUGUGUCCCAGCACUCCCAAGAGGCCACCAAUCCCACUGUGCCACAGUGGGAGCUCCUAACAUGCCAUGCUUUUAAAGUUCACAUUCAGUUAGGUGGUCAGCAAAAAAUACUUAUUCCUGGUCAUUUUAUUCCAUCACCAGAAGCUCAGAAUUGUAAAUUGGUGGGCACAACUAUACUGGUCUUAUCUAAAAAUAAAUGCAUGACUGAGUCCCCACAGCGAGUAGAAUAAGU
Molecule: long non-coding RNA, 5974 nt
Filed under: Sus scrofa (pig)
Lineage: Eukaryota; Metazoa; Chordata; Mammalia; Artiodactyla; Suidae
Description: lncRNA (ENSSSCG00065011749.1)
Source: RNAcentral